GAUGAACGCUGGCGGUAUGCUUAACACAUGCAAGUCGAACGGUCACUUCGGUGAUAGUGGCGGACGGGUGAGUAACGCGUGAGAAUCUGUCUUCAGGUCGGGGACAACAGUUAGAAAUGACUGCUAAUACCGGAUGUGCCUUUGGGUGAAAGAUUUAUUGCCUGAAAAAGAGCUCGCGUCAGAUUAGCUAGUAGGUGGUGUAAGAGACUACCUAGGCUCCGAUCUGUAGCUGGUCUGAGAGGACGAUCAGCCACACUGGAACUGAGACACGGUCCAGACUCCUACGGGAGGCAGCAGUGGGGAAUUUUCCGCAAUGGGCGAAAGCCUGACGGAGCAAUACCGCGUGAGGGACGAAGGCUUUUGGGUCGUAAACCUCUUUUCUCAAGGAAGAUGAUGACGGUACUUGAGGAAUAAGCAUCGGCUAACUCUGU
Molecule: ribosomal RNA, 431 nt
Filed under: uncultured bacterium
Lineage: Bacteria
Description: partial 16S ribosomal RNA
Rfam family: Bacterial small subunit ribosomal RNA
Source: RNAcentral